Molecule: ribosomal RNA, 986 nt
Filed under: marine metagenome
Description: bacterial SSU rRNA
Rfam family: Bacterial small subunit ribosomal RNA
Source: RNAcentral
AAUAAGUUAAUACCUUAUUGCCGUGAUGUUACCUGCAGAAUAAGCACCGGCUAAUUCCGUGCCAGCAGCCGCGGUAAUACGGAAGGUGCAAGCGUUAAUCGGAAUUACUGGGCGUAAAGCGCGCGUAGGUGGUUUGUUAAGUUGGAUGUGAAAGCCCUGGGCUCAACCUAGGAACUGCAUCCAAAACUAACUCACUAGAGUACGAUAGAGGGAGGUAGAAUUCAUAGUGUAGCGGUGGAAUGCGUAGAUAUUAUGAAGAAUACCAGUGGCGAAGGCGGCCUCCUGGAUCUGUACUGACACUAAGGUGCGAAAGCGUGGGUAGCGAACAGGAUUAGAUACCCUGGUAGUCCACGCCGUAAACGAUGACAACUAGCUGUUGGGAGACAAUGUCUUUCAGUGGCGCAGCUAACGUUUUAAGUUGUCCGCCUGGGGAGUACGGCCGCAAGGCUAAAACUCAAAUGAAUUGACGGGGACCCGCACAAGCGGUGGAGCAUGUGGUUUAAUUCGAUGCAACGCGAAAAACCUUACCUACUCUUGACAUACUUGGAAGCUCUUGUAAUGAGAGUGUGCCUUUUGGAGCCAAGAUACAGGUGCUGCAUGGCUGUCGUCAGCUCGUGUCGUGAGAUGUUCCGUUAAGUCGGAUAACGAGCGCAACCCUUACCCUUAUUUGCCAGCGAUUCGGUCGGGAACUAUAAGGGGACUGCCGGUGAUAAACCGGAGGAAGGUGAGGACGACGUCAAGUCAUCAUGGCCCUUACGAGUAGGGCUACACACGUGCUACAAUGGGGAAUACAGACGGACGCUAAGCCGCGAGGUGGUGCUAAUCCUAUAAAGUUCUUCGUAGUCCGGAUUGGAGUCUGCAACUCGACUCCAUGAAGUCGGAAUCGCUAGUAAUCGCGAAUCAGCAUGUCGCGGUGAAUACGUUCUCGGGUCUUGUACACACCGCCCGUCACACCAUGGAAGUGGAUUGCACCAGAAGUAGAUAGU